AUGCUCUUUCUUAUUACUGUUGAAGCAGGUGGUCACUGGCCUGGUUUCAUGCCAGGAACUAUUGGAACUAUUGUCCCUCAGCCAUUAUAUAUGGAUGUCGCAGCCAGGAUAAUGUCCUUCUCGCAACAGGGCCCAAGGGCGGUCUGCAUCAUGUCAGCAUCAGGGGCUGUCUCCACUGCAACCCUUCAUCAGGAUGCGGGUUCUGGCAGUGUAGUUAAAUAUGAGGGUCGAUUCGAAAUCCUGUGCCUCUCUGGAUCAUACCUGGUUAUAGAUGACGGUGUUACGCGCACACGAAACGGAGGGCUGUGCAUAGCGCUGUGUGGUGCUGAUCACAGGGUUAUUGGAGGAAGCGUUGGUGGAGUCCUGACAGCAGCCGGGACAGUUCAGGUGAUUGUGGGGAGCUUCAUGUACGCGGGGUCGAAGAAGAGCAGGAAGGGUAAGGCCGGGCAGGAGUCUGCUGCAGCGGAGGAAGAACAGACCGGCGAUGCCAACGGGGGCAGGGGCGGAGACGGAGUCGGAGUUGGAGGCGAGGCGGAGGAAGAGGGCCCUUCGCCGCUGAUGCCGAUGCCCCGCGGAGAGGAGGAGCUGCCGUCGGACGCGAUGAUGAGCGGGUGGACGGGCAUGAUGCGGCAGAUGGAGUCGCGGUCCUGCGGCGGCAUCGACAUCAACUCGAUCCGGGAGUGA
Molecule: ribosomal RNA, 684 nt
Filed under: Triticum aestivum (bread wheat)
Lineage: Eukaryota; Viridiplantae; Streptophyta; Magnoliopsida; Poales; Poaceae
Description: partial small subunit ribosomal RNA
Source: RNAcentral